This 1050-nucleotide ribosomal RNA is filed under the name Triticum aestivum (bread wheat). RNAcentral describes it as "partial small subunit ribosomal RNA". The record is from RNAcentral. Lineage: Eukaryota; Viridiplantae; Streptophyta; Magnoliopsida; Poales; Poaceae.
AUGGUCUGUCGUCUUCGUCGCUCUCUCUAUGGCCUUAAGCAAGCCCCUCGCGCCUGGUUUGAGCGUUUUGCCUCUGUGGUGACUGCCGCUGGUUUUUCAGCGAGUGAUCAUGAUCCAGCAUUGUUUGUCCACAUUUCCGCUCGUGGUCGGACUCUUCUUCUUCUCUAUGUUGAUGACAUGAUCAUCACCGGCGACGACCCUGAGUAUAUUGCCUUUGUGAAGGCCUGUCUUAGUGAGCAGUUUCUGAUGUAUGAUCUUGGCCCUCUUCGCUACUUUCUUGGGAUCGAAGUCUCUUCUACCUCUGAUGGCUUUUUUAUUUCCCAGGAAAAGUAUAUCCAGGAUCUUCUUGCUCGUGCUGCUCUCACUGAUGAGCGCACUGUUGAGACUCCCAUGGAGCUCAAUGUUCACCUCCGUGAUACUGAUGGUGACCCCUUGUCUGAUCCGACGCGUUAUCGUCAUCUUGUUGGGAGUCUUGUCUAUCUAGCUGUCACUCGACCGGAUAUAUCUUAUCCGGUCCAUAUUCUGAGUCAGUUUGUCUCUGCUCCCACUUCGGUUCACUACAGUCACCUCCUUCGUGUUCUCCGAUAUCUUCGAGGCAUGAUCUCUCACCGUCCGUUCUUUCCUCGCUCCGGUUCAUUACAGCUUCAGGCCUAUUCGGAUGCUACGUGGGCCAGUGAUCCCUCGGAUCGCCGUUCACUUUCUGCUUACUGUGUUUUUCUUGGUGGUUCUCUCAUUGCCUGGAAGACGAAGAAACAGACUGCAGUUUCCCGUUCGAGUGCAGAGGUUGAGUUGCGAGCUAUGGCUCUUUUGACGGCAGAGGUGACUUGGUUACGGUGGUUGCUUCAGGAUUUUGGUGUUUCUGUCACUACACCUACUCUUCUACUGUCUGACAGUACAGGUGCUAUUAGCAUUGCGCGCGUCCCUGUGAAGCAUGAGCUCACCAAGCAUAUUGGUGUUGAUGCUUUUUAUGUGCGCGCUGGUGUGCAGGAUCAGGUUAUUGCUCUUCAGUAUGUGCCUUCCGAGUUACAGUUGGCAGAUUUCUUUACGAAG